AAACCGUAGGUUCUGAAACUCACCGGAAUAAGAUCACAGACGUCGGAAAGUUACCCAAAACGUCUAUCAAGCGAAGACAAAGUCAUCAGAUAACACCAAAGCUCUAGGUCCGAAAGUCGGAAAACCCUAGAAUUUGAAGAACUCGUCGGAAUAAAACCAGGGAUGCCGGAAUAUUACCCAAAACACCCGCUGAUACAAGAUCGGAACCCAGAAUAACAGGAAAAUUUCGAUUAUCCGCUCAACAUUCUUUGAAACAUCUGCGAACAUUAUCGCUCACCGGUAACCAUAAAAAAAACUUCAGUAAAAACUUCAAACGAGAUCGAUAACACGCAACCGAGAAGGAUCCGAAGAUCAUCCGGCUCUGAUACCAUGAAAACGUAUAGAUUUGAAGGAAAAAUGACGAAGAACAUAAUGAGAGAAAGAGAGUAGGUGAAGGAACUCUCUGGAAGAACCGAGAGAAAAAUGAAUCGAUUAACCCAAAAUAUCUCUGCCCCUAUACAAAUCAGAAAGAGAGUAGGUGAGGAACUCUCUGGAAGAACC
Molecule: long non-coding RNA, 540 nt
Filed under: Nicotiana benthamiana
Lineage: Eukaryota; Viridiplantae; Streptophyta; Magnoliopsida; Solanales; Solanaceae
Description: long non-coding RNA (NBEN_LNC016900)
Source: RNAcentral